UACGUAGGAUGCAAGCGUUGUCCGGAAUUAUUGGGCGUAAAGAGCGCGCAGGCGGCCCAUCAAGUCAGAUGUGAAAUAACCAGGCUUAACCUGGUGGGGUCAUUUGAAACUGGCGGGCUAGAGUCCAGCAGAGGAUAGCGGAAUUCCCGGUGUAGUGGUGAAAUGCGUAGAUAUCGGGAGGAACACCAGUGGCGAAGGCGACUACCUGGCCUGUUCUUGACGCUGAGGCGCGAAAGCUAGGGGAGCAAACGGG
RNAcentral lists this ribosomal RNA (253 nucleotides) under uncultured bacterium. RNAcentral describes it as "partial 16S ribosomal RNA". It matches the Rfam family "Bacterial small subunit ribosomal RNA", at positions 524 to 776 of the family's 1533-position model. The record is from RNAcentral.